RNAcentral lists this ribosomal RNA (478 nucleotides) under uncultured Planctomycetales bacterium. Its description in RNAcentral is "bacterial SSU rRNA". It matches the Rfam family "Bacterial small subunit ribosomal RNA", at positions 364 to 832 of the family's 1533-position model. Lineage: Bacteria; Pseudomonadati; Planctomycetota; Planctomycetia; Planctomycetales. The record is from RNAcentral.
UUUCGCAAUGCCCGAAAGGGUGACGGAGCGACGCCGCAUGGACGAUGAAGGCCCUCGGGUUGUAAAGUCCUGUCAGGUGGGAAGAACAGCAACGGGAUGAAUAAUCCCGUUGCCUGACGUUACCAUCAGAGGAAGCACCAGCAAACUUCGUGCCAGCAGCUGCGGUAAUACGAAGGGUGCGAGCGUUGUUCGGAAUUAUUGGGCGUAAAGAGCACGUAGGUGGAUUUGUAAGUCAGAUGUGAAAGCCUUCUGUUCAACGGGAGAAUUGCAUCUGAAACUACAGACCUUGAGUAUAGGAGGGGAGAAUGGAACUUCUGGAGGAGCGGUGAAAUGCGUAGAUAUCAGAAGGAACGCCGGCGGCGAAAGCGAUUCUCUGGCCUAUUACUGACACUCAGUGUGCGAAAGCUAGGGGAGCAAACGGGAUUAGAUACCCCGGUAGUCCUAGCCGUAAACGAUGGGCACUAAGUAGAGGGGUUUU